AGAUGUCAACCCUCUCCAGUAUUCUUGCCUGGAGAAUCCCAUGGACAGAGGAGCCUGGUGGGCUACAGUCCAUGGGGUCACAAAAGAAUCGAGACAUGACUUAACAACUAAAUAAUAACAACCAAGCCGCGAGGUGGAGCUAAUCCCAUAAAACCGAUCGUAGUCCGGAUCGCAGUCUGCAACUCGACUGCGUGAAGUCGGAAUCGCUAGUAAUCGUGAAUCAGAAUGUCACGGUGAAUACGUUCCCGGGCCUUGUACACACCGCCGUCGACGCGGCCG
Molecule: ribosomal RNA, 279 nt
Filed under: uncultured bacterium
Lineage: Bacteria
Description: partial 16S ribosomal RNA
Rfam family: Bacterial small subunit ribosomal RNA
Source: RNAcentral